Long non-coding RNA from Mya arenaria, 123 nucleotides. RefSeq lists it as uncharacterized. The record is from RefSeq and is a predicted model, not a curated record. The transcript is spliced from 3 exons. NCBI's taxonomy places the organism in Eukaryota, Metazoa, Mollusca, Bivalvia, Myida, Myidae.
GAAUUAAAGGUCGAUGAGCUGCCAAAUGGUGAUGUGGUUAUUCAAGUCAUACCAGAAUCAGAUUCAGAAGCAGAGAGACGUGCAGUGUUCGAUUUGGACACGAUAGAAUUAGACAGAGGAAGC